RNAcentral lists this ribosomal RNA (651 nucleotides) under uncultured marine eukaryote. RNAcentral describes it as "bacterial SSU rRNA". It matches the Rfam family "Eukaryotic small subunit ribosomal RNA", at positions 614 to 1105 of the family's 1831-position model. The record is from RNAcentral.
UGCUGUUAAAAAGCUCGUAGUUGGAUCAAGAGUUCGACAGUGCAAGGUGGCCCCGCUUGCUAUGUUGGCUCCGGUCACCGUAGCGGCGGCGGAUAAACCCCUUGCGCCAAACUGUCGUCUCUAACAGACCGAAACGGUUCCCUGUGAGUAGGUUCCUUCAUUGGGGCUGAAAGCGCCUACGCAUCAACCAUAUGCUUACGGGACGUCGGUCAAAGUUACUGUGAACAAACCAGCGUGUCCAAAACAGGCUUUCGCCUGAAUGUUCGAGCAUGGAAUAACAAGGGAUCGAUUCUCUCGGUUCUUUUUGUUGGUUUUUAACCCGAGAAGGAGUAAUUCAGGCCACGGUGUCUGGGCUGGGUUCCCCUAGGCUUCGGCUUAGGCCCCAGUUAGGCCGUGUUCUUACGGGAUAAAUAGGGACUGACGGAGUCGUACGUACUUCCACGUCAGAGGUGAAAUUCUUAGAUCGUGGGAAGACGAACUUCUGCGAAAGCAUUCGACAAGAAUGUCUUCAUUAAUCAAGAACGAGAGUGUGGGGAUCGAAGAUGAUCAGAUACCGUCGUAGUCCACUACUGUAAACAAUGCCGUCUCAGGAUUGAGAAGUGAACCUAAUGACUUUCACAGCACUAACCCCUGAAACGAGAAAUCAAAGAU